GACCUGAGAGGGUGAUCGGCCACACUGGAACUGAGACACGGUCCAGACUCCUACGGGAGGCACCAGUAGGGAAUCUUCCGCAAUGGGCGAAAGCCUGACGGAGCAACUCCGCGUGAGUGAUGAAGGUCUUCGGAUCGUAAAACUCUGUUAUCAGGGAAGAACAAAUGUGUAAGUAACUGUGCACAUCUUGACGGUACCUGAUCAGAAAGCCACGGCUAACUACGUGCCAGCAGCCGCGGUAAUACGUAGGUGGCAAGCGUUAUCCGGAAUUAUUGGGCGUAAAGCGCGCGUAGGCGGUUUUUUAAGUCUGAUGUGAAAGCCCACGGCUCAACCGUGGAGGGUCAUUGGAAACUG
This 354-nucleotide ribosomal RNA is filed under the name bacterium LimC-1-J-9. RNAcentral describes it as "bacterial SSU rRNA". It matches the Rfam family "Bacterial small subunit ribosomal RNA", at positions 289 to 635 of the family's 1533-position model. RNAcentral also lists the same sequence under 1 other name. The record is from RNAcentral.